UGAAAUACGUAAAUAAACUACCCUUUAAAACGUGACGGUUUAUGGGGCAAGUGAGCUAGAGCUCACCUGUUUUUGUGACCUCGGCAUAUGAAGGGAUAAGGUGAUAAGCACGAUGACCAGCGAUCUCUGACGUGAUUUAGGUACCCAUCAGAGCUGGAAAGAUUCGUUUAUAUUACACUGUAUUGAAUCCGGAUUCGAACACUUGACUUUCGAGUUAGCAGUCUAGCACACUACCAUUAGGGUCAUUGAAAUUGAAGACGUCAUAAAUGGAUGACCCCUAAAUUAACCUUAAACUUUAUGAGAUCAGUCUUCGUAAAAAAGUAACUUAAGCGGAUGACCUUGAGUUUACAUACAUCUUUGUUCUCAGCGAGUCUUCAUCCCGUCAUAAAUACUGUUUCUACUUUCUUCUUUUAUAGUUUAUGUCAGAUUCUACAACAGCUUUAUCUCCACACAAACGAAAAUCUAAACUGCGAAAAGUUUAAAAUUUAAUUUGAAUACGGUAUACAUUCACACAUUUUGAUAAUUUAAUUUCCUGCGAUUGUCAUUUUUGGAUUAUAUUAUAUUUUUUUUUAUGUUUUGCUUAAAAUUGAAUAGAAAUCAGUGUCUACUUGCUUGUUAAAAUACGUGAAAAAAUCAAUGGCAUUUCUAAAUUUAGAAAUAUUAGGGUUUGUUUUAGAAACAGCUGUGGAUUACUUAGGUAAAGCUUCUACGGUUGCUACUACAAUUGCUAUAUUUUACCCUCCUGCUGCACCAGUUGCUGGUGUGUUAAAACUAGCAACAGGAAGCUGCUCAUUAGUUUUUAAAAUCCACAAGGGUGAAGAUAUGUUGAGUAUAAGCAAGACAGUAGCCGAGCUUUUAUUACCACGCGCAUUAACAGCACUCAAAGGAAAACCAAUUUUAGAAUCUAUCGUGAAAUGCGGUAAAAUAAUAAAAAGCUGUAAUUCGGCAAAAAAUAUUUGCAUUGUCAUCUAUCAAGGAGAUCGCAACAUAUUCAAUGUCUUAAUAUUACUAAACAUCAAUCACGGUAUUUAUAAAGGGAUUGCCGAUUUCAAAAAGUGUGAAUCUUCAAAUGACAAAGCGCAAUCAAUUUCAUUGAAAAAAGAAGGUGAAACAUGCCCUAAAGAUGAUGAAAAGAAAUAGUGUCCCCAUGAUUGAUUUAAUAUAUCAAUUAGAUUUUUUGAGAAGUCCACUUGCAAUAUGCUUGCUAAUUCAACUUUUAAAAAAAGGUUAUCAUUAUAUCAUUAUAUGCUGGUUGUUUGAGUGUGAACUGCAUUCUCUUACCAGUUUGUUGUUUUAAAAGAUAUAUUUUAAAAUUAAUCAUUUAACUGUUAAUAAACAUAUGAACGUGAUUUCAGGUUUUGCAACACAUUGUAUUUUAAAUUAGUUUUGAGGCUGAACCAAAAGUAAUAACAUUGUUGGGGUAUAUGAAUUUGAUAUGUUUAUCUUACAUGAGUGAAUUUUAUUCAUUUAUAUUUUUACUAUCUCGUAUACAGAAUAUAAAGACAAUAUUUGAAAAGCGCAAAGAAAAUUUAAAACUUAAAAUCUUUAUCUAAAAGAAGAAAAGGGGGCUUUCUGUUUCUUUAAGUUUCGAUGUUUAUACCUCGUAUGUUGGAAUGAUUAGUAUGUACGUAAUGUAUACAUGUAGACUAGUAAUAUUUCAUACUUCUACAUAUAUUAUAGAUCUUUAUGGUAAAUUAUAAUCAGGAGAUAUAAAACAGUAAGCCACUAAGCCUAUUAUAAGCACAUGGAGCUCAUUUAUAUUUAUGAAUUUUACACUACAGUGUAGGCCAGUCAUAACAUUCUAGUAGGCUACAAUCAUACUAGUAUGACUAGCAGUAGUGUACUGAAUGGCUAGGCUUUUGUUUUCAAAAUAUUUUCAUGAGGCUCAUUGUAUUUUUGUUUUGGGAGCUUCCAGCAAAAGACAGUUCAGUCCAACGACUUUACCACACCAUUAAGACCACAGACAAGAGUGUCAUUAAGGAAUAAGGGAGUAGAACAUGUCGGGACCUUUUUCUGUGUUCUGUACAGUAAAAUGAAGAUCUAAGACGUGUUCCCAUUGAAUACCAUGUCGAAAACCAUAAAGAAAAUAUACUUUUGUGUGUGUUUUUGUAUGACAAUUAUAAAAAUAAUUACUAUAAUGAUUGCCAUGGACUUAGCUAAAACCUGUUACAGUUCCUUACUGUUUUGUAAUUUUUUUUUAUUUUUUGGAAAAGAAUGUUUUACAUUCCUGACGGUUCUUAUCAGUACCAAUACAUAUUUGAGACAAUAAAAAUUAACAAAACAUUAUAUUUUCUUCGACGUACAUUUUAAGUAUCCCGAAAGCAAUAUAAUAACACAUUGUUAAAGACAAAACUUCAUUCAGAACUUAAUUCCGUAAAUAAAGGGUUAACGCACACACGAAGGCAAACAUAAUCAUCAGCUCAAAUAUCAACAUAAUAGAAUAUAUAUAAAUACAUAAGGACAAACGUAAACACAACCCCGAUUGAAAACAAUAACAAAACAAUUGACAAAAGCAAAUGUAAUCGCGAACAUAAACAUAAAGCUAAAUGCAAACAUAAACGCAAACAAUAAUGAAAAAGGAAACACAAACGACAAAAAGAAUCAAAUGAUAAAAACAUAAAAUCAAACAUAAACAAAAUAAACGAUCUCCCCUAAACUUUCUCGAAUAUUCUUUAUAAAAAAACAGGGGAUGGGAA
Molecule: long non-coding RNA, 2696 nt
Organism: Physella acuta
Lineage: Eukaryota; Metazoa; Mollusca; Gastropoda; Physidae
Source: RefSeq, a predicted model, not a curated record